CUCCCUACCCUACUAUGAGUCACCCCCCUUAUAUCAGAGAAAACAUUCGGCAUUUGUUUUUUUGGGGAUUGGCUAACUUCACUUACCAUUAUCUUCUCCUACGCCAUCCAUUUACCUGCAAAUGCCAUAAUUUUAUUCUCUUUUAUUUCGAGUAAUAUUCCAUUGUGUAUAUAUGCCUCAUCUGUUUUCUUACACCUACUUUAAAGUCUCUACCCCUUUCCCAUAUAGGUGUCAGUAUAACUAUCACAAGGCUGUAGAUAUUUUUUCUAAAAAUUUAUUCCUUAACCAUCCUUCCUAAAUUUUCAAGUUUGAUCAAAUCCAUUGGCCAAUUCUAACUUUAAAUUCUGAAAUCAUGAUAGAAAUUUGGACCUACUUUUUCUUCCAUUAUGUGCAAGGUCUCUGGUUUAAUUCCUAGGUCUUUGAUCCACUGGGAAUUGAGUUUUGUGCAUGGUAAGAGAUAGAGGUUUAAUUUCAUUUUGUUUCAUGUGGAUUUCCAGUUUUCCUAGUACCGUUUGUUGAAGAGGCUAUCUUUUCUCCAAUGUACAUUUUUGGCACCUUUGUCUAAUAUAAAAUAACUUUAGUUAUGUGGGUAAGUCUCUGUGUCCUCUAUUCUGUACCAUUGGUCUACCAAUCUGUUUUCAUACCAAUACCAUACUAUUUUUGUUACUAUUGCUCUGUAGUAGAGUUUAGGGUCUGGAAUAACAAUGCUACCAGCUUCACUCUUCUUGCUAAGGAUUGCUUGGGCUAUUCUGGGUCUCUUAUUUUUCCAGAUUAAUU
This 777-nucleotide long non-coding RNA is filed under the name Marmota monax (woodchuck). The record is from RNAcentral. Lineage: Eukaryota; Metazoa; Chordata; Mammalia; Rodentia; Sciuridae.